GCCGAGGUGGUGGAAUGGUAGACACCGGGGACUUAAAAUCCCCUCCUUGUAAUGAGGGUACGGGUUCAACUCCCGUUCUCGGCA
RNAcentral lists this transfer RNA (84 nucleotides) under Treponema sp. Its description in RNAcentral is "tRNA-Leu". It matches the Rfam family "tRNA". Rfam says of the family: Transfer RNA (tRNA) molecules are approximately 80 nucleotides in length. Their secondary structure includes four short double-helical elements and three loops (D, anti-codon, and T loops). The record is from RNAcentral. Lineage: Bacteria; Pseudomonadati; Spirochaetota; Spirochaetia; Treponematales; Treponemataceae.